Long non-coding RNA from Lytechinus pictus (painted urchin), 5941 nucleotides. RefSeq lists it as uncharacterized. The record is from RefSeq and is a predicted model, not a curated record. Lineage: Eukaryota; Metazoa; Echinodermata; Echinoidea; Temnopleuroida; Toxopneustidae. The transcript is spliced from 2 exons.
AGGAUUACAGGGGAAUGGGCUUUAAAGCGAGCCGUCGAAAACGUCAAGAAACAUUAUGUGGCAGUAGGGAUAUUAGAAGAGCUUCAGGAUUCUUUGCAGGUCUUUGAGAAAGUCUUGCCAAACAUGUUCAAAGGAGCCUUAGAUUCAUUCCUAAGAUUUGAACAAAUUGCACAGAGCAACAAGUCAUCAGUUGGUGUCACUAAAUACAAGCAGAAGCCAUCAGCCAAAACUGCCUUAUAUGUUCGAAAUGUCAUAAUGAAGUAUGAAUAUCAGUUCUACAACUGGAUUAAAGAUCGCUUGCAUCAGCAGAUGAGCAAUUUAGGAAUCAAGUCUUAUCGUAAAAGUUAUAGAUGAGAGUAUUAUUAGAUAUGGAGUACUCUUGUUCAUUUGCAAUACAGCCAAUCACUUUUUAAUGUUUUUAAAAAUGUUUUUGUCAAAUGCAUUUUUGUCUCACGUGCAUAGCAGAGUGAGACUAGGCACCGCUUUUCCGACGGCGUCAACAUCAAAUCUUAACCGAAGGUUAAGUUUUUGAAAUGACAGCAUAACUUGAAAGUAUAUGGACCUAGUUCAUGACUUGGGCAUAAGGUUAAUCAAGUAUUACUGAACAUCUUGCCUGAGUUUCAGGUCACAUGACCAAGGUCAAAGGUCAUUUAUGGUAAAUGACCUUAGACCAUGUUGGGGAAUCAACAUCAAAAUCUUAAGGUUAAGUCUUUGAAAUGUCAUCAUAACUUAAAAAGUAUAUGUACCUACUUUAUGAAACUUGGCCAUAAGGGUAAUCAAGUAUCAAUGAACAUCCUGUGUGAGUUUCAAUUCACAUGGCCAAGGUCAAAGUUCAUUUAAUGUCAUUGAACUUUGGCCAUGUGGGGGUAUUUGUUGAAUAACCAUCAUAAUUCUGAAAGUGUUUUGAUCUUGUUCAUAAUGCUUGGACUUAUGACAUCUGUGAUAUGCGUAGGUUGUAUUUUGUAUUGUAAUGGAUUGCCUUUUCAUAUUUUGUGCAAAUGUUCUUAGGCUUUCUUCUUGUGUUGUUAAUCUUUAUUCAUGGAGACAUGUUGGUAAGCUUUGGUGGGGUUCACAUUGUUGAAGAAUAUGAUUUUAUAAUCUUGCACAGGUUGAUUGUGUAUAUAAAUAAAAUAAAAAAAACCCUGGCAAAAUAAAGCCCUGAGAGAGAACUGCCAAAAAGGAAGAUGGUUGGAGGAAUGGCAUUCACUGCUGAGUAAUAUAAUGUUAGGCACCUUGUAAGAGUGACACCUUUCGCUCAGAAUCCUGCCAGCUGCCUUUCAUUAUAAUUCUCACACUUCAUCAAAGCAAAGCAAUAGGGAAUGCUGUGAUGCAUAGUACUUUUAUAGCAGGAUUCCUGACUUCUGACAUGGUACACUGUACAAUGAAGUCAAGAAAUAUUUUUAAAUAACUUAAAGGGGAAGGCAACCUCGGUCAUAAAUUUUAAAUAUUAUUAUCCCAUUUUGGGUGUGUUUACAAUCCCUUUGCCUGUGUCACUUUUUCUUUUCCUUUCCCAGCCCCCCCCCCCCCUCUCCCACUCUCUCCUUUUCUCUCUCUUUGUAACCUUCAGUUUUCUUCUCUCCCCCCCCCCCCCCCGUCAAUUCCACUCGUUUUUGUCUCACCUGUAUAGCAGAGUGAGACUAAAGGCGCCGCUUUUCCAACGGCUGCGGCGUCAACACCAAAUCUUAACCAAAGGUUAAUUUUUUGAAAUGACAGCAUAACUUAGAAAGUAUAUGGACCUAGUUCAUGAAACUUGACCAUAAAGUUAAUCAAGUAUUACAGAACAUCCUGCCUGAGUUUCAGGUCACAUGACCAAGGUCAAAGGUCAUUUAGGGUCAAUGAACUUAGACCAUGUUGGGGGAAUCAACAUCAAAAUCUUAACCUAAGGUUAAGUUUUUGAAAUGUCAUAACUUUUAAAAAAUAUAUGGACCUAGUUCAUGAAACUUGGACACAAGGUCAAUCAAGUUUUACUGAACAUCCUGGCCCAAAUUCACAAAGGUGGUUUUGAAAACCCUUGGUUAAUUCUAAGGUUUAUGCAGAUUUUCUGUAUAAAUAACGCUUAUAUACCACGUAUAUUAAAAAAAUGUCCAAUGCUGAUGCGCGCUAUUGUCACAGUGCGCCAAAUUGACGCCUCUUGCCGUGGUUAUCCACGCUAUUUUAUUCAUUAGUCCACUGUUUGAAGAGUGGACUCAUUAAUUCAAAACAGUGGACUCAUGAAUAAAAUAGCGUACUUAACCAUGGCAACAGGCGUCAAUUUGGCGCACUGUGACAAAAGUGUGCAUCCGUAUUGGACAUUUUUUAUAAACGCGCCUGAUACGCGGUAUAUUAAGCGUAAUUUAUACAGGAAAUCUGCAUAAAUCAUGGACUCAACCGUGGGUUUUCAAAACCACCUUUGUGAAUUCAGGCCCCUGCCUGAGUUUCAAGUCACAUGACCAGGGUCAAAGGUCAUUUAGGGUCAAAUUGGGGGUAUCUGUUUAAUUACCAUCAUAACUUUGAAAGUUUAUGGAUCUGAUUCAUGAAACUUGGACAUAAUAGUAAUCAAGUAGCACUGAACAUCCUGUGCGAGUUACAGGUCACAUGAUUAAGGUCAAAGGUCAAUGAACUUUGGCCAAGUUGGGGGUAUUUGUUGAACUGCCAUCAUAACUUUGAAAGUUUAUGGAUCUGAUUCAUGAAACUUGGACAUAAGAGUAAUCAAGUAUCACUGAACAUCCUGUGCGAAUUUCAGGUCACAUGACCAAAGGUCAAUGAACUUUGGCCAUGUGGGGGGUAUCUGUUGAAUUACCAUAACUUUGAAAGUGUAUUGGUCUAGUUCAUAAAACGUGGACAUAAGAGUAACCAAGUAUCACUGAACAUCUUGUGCGAGUUUCAGGUCACAUGACCAAGGUCAAAGGUCAAUGGACUUUGGCCAUGUCGGGGGUAUUUGUUGAAUUACCAUCAUAACUCUGUAAGUGUAUAGGGCUAGUUCAUAAAACUUGGACAUAAGAGUCAUCAAGUAUCACUGAACAUCUCAUGUGAGUUCCAGGUCACAUGACCAAGGUUAAAGGUAAUUUAAGGUCAUUGAAUUUUGGCCAUUUUAGAGGUAAUUAUUAGAUUGCAUCAUAACUUUCAAAGUUUAUAGAUAUAGUGUAUAAAAUAUGGAUAUAGGGGUAAUCAAGUAUCACUGACAAGUUUUAGGUCAUAUGAUCAAGGUCAAAUGUCAAUGAACGUAGUAUUGUAUCAUUAUAUGAAUGGUGUUUUUUGUGAAUAAUUAUUUUAUAGUAGUUUUCAAAGUCAGCACUGCUGCUGUAUUGAAUCGCGUGAUGCAGGUGAAACUGCCAGAGUCGCUCCACUUAUUAUUUACUAGUAAUUGUAAAUUUAUUGGAUGAAUACGCAUUUGUUAACAUUGUUUUGGGUUUUUCGUAUGUUUUUUUAGUCAAUGUCCAAUUGCAGAAUGUUUCAACUUUUGGGUUUCUACAUCCCUCUUGAAUUUGAAGUUUGUGUUCUUAACUGUAGAGGGGGUAUGGUUAUCACUUACUUUACCCAUAACCCGUCCAUUUGGUUUUAUAUUAUCUAUAUCACAUAUUGUUUUCGUCACUCAUGUCGCAUGCUACACCCCUUUAUAGCACGAGUACUUUAUUAUUUACAUCUAUUAAUAUAUUGUAAAUCAACCAUUGGAAUUGGGACAGGAUGCUUCAUGCCACAGUAAUUCAGUUAACUUUUUCUGUCCCUGGCGUUCCAAUAGUUGAUAUUUCUUAUUUUGUAUUGUUUAUACUGAAAUGUAUUUUUGUAUUUGCCGAAUAAUAAUGAUAAAUGGUGUGGAACUGGGUGGCAAACAAAAAUUGGCAUUUAUUUUAAUUAGUAGAGGCCUGCUACUUAUUUUGUAAAUCUCCAUUAUUUAAGAAUUGGAGGCAUUCAUUCAGUUAAUAUUCAUUCUUGAUUGUUCAUUUUUCACAAGCUGCUUUGCAUUCCCAGGAAGACUCCCCCCCCCCCCCCUUUGACCUUUAUCCUUAGGUAGUUGGUCCUCUGACCAUUUCAUUUGCUCCUAUUACAUUGGCUAUUAAAUACAUCUAUCAUGGAAUUUACGUCCCCUUCAAAAGUGGCCUCAGUUCUUGCAUUGCAAUUCUCUCGGGUAGUUAUGCCUCUUUUUAUGUGUGUAAAUAUAUUUUUAUUCAUCACUGUGACUAAAAUAUAGAUUAAAUAGAGUACAUUUUUGAAGAAAUGAAAAUGGAUUUUUACUUCAUACAUAUACACAGCGAAUGUGUAAUUGAACGAUAAUUAAUCAGUUAUCAGUCAUUGCACUGUACUAUAAUUUUAAUGCUUGUGCUCACCUCAGGUGAUGCUGGAGUUUUGUUUGGGUUGUCCAUCUAUCUUUCCUAAUUUUGUUCUAAAAAACCAUUUAAUGGAUUGACUUCAUAUGUGGAUCAUGUAUGCAUAUGGGCCUGACAAAGUCAUUAUACACCUUAAAAUGCUUUGUACUUACAAUAACUAAAGAACCCUUUUACAAAUCAACUUCAUAUUUAGAUCACUUAUGCCUUUGACUUUGUGACUUGCUAAACUUUUCAGCACUUAUCAUCGCCACUCCAAUAUGCAUACAUGACCCAAGUAUAAAACCAUUCUUGAGUUAUUGUGAGUAGGUCAUAGGAGUGACAAUGACCUGGGGGGUGUUUCACAAAGAUUAAGUAUGGCUUUGAGUCGCACUUAAAUGCCAAUUUGCUAUACGGUAUAAAAGACAUCACCGCAUUGGUCAGAUCAUAAUAAUAAUAAUAAUGGUUAUUUAUAUGCACUAUACACAAAAAGUAUCACAGCGCUUACAAUUGUCAGAAAUAAAAUAUAAAUAUAAAUCUUAAGUAACAAAGUAUGCAUUAAAUUGUAUCAACUAUUGGUGUUCUCAACUGCGCCAGAUGAGGCCUGGUGGCCUCUUGCUUGCUGCUUCGUUCACCAACAAUUUAAAGGACAAGCCCGGUCAGCACAUCAUUCACAGAAGCUCUAGUAUAGCACUUGAGGCCACCAGGCCCCAGAUGGAUUAGCCGAGAGAAUGCGCACUACUGCGGAUUGAUACAUACGAUUGCACGUUGCAUAUCAUGUCCGCGUCACCAUUUAAGUGUGACUCUAAGUCUUACUUAAAUCUCUGUGAAACACCCCCCAGAUUAGUUUUUCUGGUAUGGAGGUCAAAGGUGCAAGGUCACAGAGGUCAUUAGUACCUUAAAACGUACCUUUUUGUGAUACAUCAAGAACCCUUUGAUGGAUCAACUUUAUGUUGUAUACAUAUAGGAGUGACAAUGAUUUGGUUAAUGUUAUGGAUAUGAGGUCAAAGAAGUCAUGUUUCUUGAAUUCCAUGUUCUAAUGACCUUCUCAUGAUAACUUGAGAAUGGUUUGACUUCAUACUUGGGUCAUGUAUGUAUAUUGGAAUGCUGAGAGGUUUCACAGGUCACAAAGUCAAAGGUUAUGUCACAGAGAUAAACCUUGAAACCUGGAAGCUCAUUAACCAUUGAAGGUAUCAACUUCAAAAUUUGAAUAUUAUUAGUGUCAAUCUGUUUGCUUGUGGGAACAGAAAUCAAUACAUUUUGACAUUUUAAUUUUCACAAUAAUUCAAAACUUUUUGAAGGAAUUCAAAAAUAGAAAUGAAAAAGAACUUUACUUUGUUAUUGCUUUUUACCCUGAUAAUAAUGCAAGAAAUACUUGCUGUUUGUAAAGCUUCUGCAUCAUAUACUGUACACAUAAAUAGUGACAAUGAUCUAAUUAAUUUGAUGUGUGAAAGUAUGCCUGAGAUUAACAAUGUGAUGAGAUUGAUUUUUUGCCACAAAAUAAAGUAUGCAAUAUAAAUAUCUAGCAGUGGCAAGAGGCAUCGAUCUUGACCGUGCGCAGUCGAGUAUCUAUCUUGUUUUAUGCCAUACCUGUGUGUGAACUUUAUAACAACUCAUUUAAGAAAAUUUGAAAAUAAAACAAUUUUACAUUUUUUUGGUCA